UACACGGAAAGGAAAUUAGAAGUCAACUCA
Molecule: non-coding RNA, 30 nt
Filed under: Cricetulus griseus (Chinese hamster)
Lineage: Eukaryota; Metazoa; Chordata; Mammalia; Rodentia; Cricetidae
Source: RNAcentral